AAAUAGGUUAGUUUUCAUUUGAUUUUAUUUCCACUGAGGUUAAAGUACAAGUUUAACAGACAUCACAGAAUAGUUAUCAUUAUGCAAUCAUAACCUCCAAAACAAUCUUACUACUUCACAGUGAAAACCUUGCUCACACAAACAUGGUACAUCUUAAUUAUAAUUGAAUAAAUGUAUAUAAAUGUGUCCUUAACAAAAUCUUGUGACUGCUUAUAUCUUCCAUGUAACAGUAAUAUUAUAAAUGCAAAUUUUCUGAACACAAAAAAAUCUGGUCAAUCAUGGUUAUAUACUGAUGAAAAAUUCUCUAAUUGUAGACUAGGACUGGAUUUUUAUAUGAAUAACUUUAUUCAUCAAAGAUGCCCCAUUCCUUUCAACAGUAGGCCUGUAAAAAUAUUUGGUACAUAUUUAUCUUGUGUUUGAAAUUAAUUUAUUUAGUUCCAGAAAAGAAGCACGUGUAUGUGUUUCUAGUCUGGUUUAUUUCAUGAUUAAAAGAAAGAAAUGUUUGUUAAAACAAAACAAAACUGUUUCCCUCUCAACCCAUAUAAAACUUGAUUGCACUUGACUUCAUAUAACUUUUCAAAAAGAAAUAAGGAAUUAUAUAUCAGUGUAUCCCAAACUCUGCCUGUCCGACAAAAUGUCCGACAAAAAGUCAUUCGGUCAGACAGAGAUUUUCAGAAUUUUUAGUUGAAUAUAUAGAAGAAAAAUGUCAAAUUUCUCAUUCAAUCAGGCAAACCCUAAAACAUUUUGGCACAGACUGAUAUAUAUGACAAAAAAUUGUCUAUAAAUUUAAUAGAAAUCAAAAUGAAAUGGUUGACAGACAAAGGAUAACUUCUGGAUUGGUCCCAUAUUUUGAAUAUAUUUUGGCUGAUAUUAAUCGUAAGUGUUCAACUAUUUCAAUCAUUACAACCUGAACUACAACAAAUUUCUUAAAAAACUGAAUGAUUUCUAACAUUUAAUGCCACUCUUUACUCUAAAUAAAUUCUCAUGCAAGUUUUUGUUUGUAUUUAUCAUUUCAAUAGCGUGAAUAAAACUUGGUCACACAAUCUUGGCAAGACAGUAUUAUAUGUUAUACACAGGUUUAUUGUCAUGGAUAAUCAAUCUUGUCAUUAUAUUGUGGUAGGAAUUUUAUAUAUAUAAUGUAAUAUUAUAUAAAUAUCAUGAAUUUUAGUUGAUUAUAAAAGAGCAGAAGGAUACCAAAUGGACAUUCAAACUCAUAAGUCAGAAACAAACUGACAAAGCAAAGGCAAAAAAUUAGGAAUUCAUUAUUAUAUGACAUCAAUAGUAUUACAAUAUAGUAAUUACUCUUAAAACAAAGAUUCCUGUAUGUAUAUAUUCAGAUUUCUUAUUUAAAAAGGUAGCGAGGUUAAAGAUAGUUUUACAUUCUUUACAAAAUCAAAAAGUAUGAAUGAAAGUAUAAUAUUUAUAUUAACUACUGUGGAUUCAUUAAUAUUCGAUGGAUACCAAUUUUUGUGGGUACAGGCGAACCACGAAAUUAAAUGUUCAAAGAAUAACAAAUUUUCUAUAGGUUUCUAUGCAGACUUCCGCAAAACCACAAAAUAGGAUAUCCCCGAACAUGUAAGUUUUCCUUAAUGCACGAAAUUGGUACCCACGAAAAUAAAUGAAUCCACAGUAAUGUAUAAAUUCUUUAGAAAACAUUUAUGAAUACAAAACAAAUUGUAUAAACUGGCUAAAAUGUUUAAAUUAUCCUACUUCAGAAUCAGCAGGAGAGUAAUACACUUCCUAAAUGUAUUAUUUUACAAAACAAUAAAUGAAUUUCUAAAAUUCAUACUUUGUCAGGUGACACAUAAUUUACCUUACCUCAAAACUGAGAUAAAUAUUUUGACCCUGUAAAAUGACUGAUAUUUACAUACACUUGCAGGUGAGACAGUAUUAAAAGUAUCACUGUUUAAAAAACAUCUAACAUUAAGGCAUCUAGUGACAACAACACUAUACAGGGGUCAACAAUCAACAAGCUAUUAUACUGUAUCAUAUAUAUAUACAUGUCAAAAGAUUUAUACCAUUUUGUUAACUUGGUAUUAAGCAGUAAAAUUUAUGGCUUGUAUUUAAUCAAACUAAAAAAAUCUGAAUAAGCAGCAAAAACUUGAAAAGUAUUUCAUUUUCAGCUUUUGUUUUGAGAAUCUUAAUAUCAUUGAAUCUACAAGAUUUUUUUUUAUUAUGAAACCAGUUUUAAAGGAAUGUUUAUAUCAAGAUGCCAUUUUGAUAAUGUUAAUAUAUUCUUGAAUAUAAAAUGAUAACGACUUAAAAUGAAAGUGCUAUAUUUACAUAUAUAAAAAGAACCAUGACAUUAAGACUUAAACCGUGGGCUAUGUUAAAAUAUUUGACGUAAAAUUUAUAACAUAACAGAAUAAAACAGAACUUUUUUUCUAACUUAACAAA
This 2397-nucleotide long non-coding RNA is filed under the name Mytilus galloprovincialis (Mediterranean mussel). Lineage: Eukaryota; Metazoa; Mollusca; Bivalvia; Mytilida; Mytilidae. The record is from RNAcentral.